AAAUUGAAGAGUUUGAUCAUGGCUCAGAUUGAACGCUGGCGGCAGGCCUAACACAUGCAAGUCGAACGGUAACAGGAAGCAGCUUGCUGCUUCGCUGACGAGUGGCGGACGGGUGAGUAAUGUCUGGGAAACUGCCUGAUGGAGGGGGAUAACUACUGGAAACGGUAGCUAAUACCGCAUAACGUCGCAAGACCAAAGAGGGGGACCUUCGGGCCUCUUGCCAUCGGAUGUGCCCAGAUGGGAUUAGCUUGUUGGUGGGGUAACGGCUCACCAAGGCGACGAUCCCUAGCUGGUCUGAGAGGAUGACCAGCCACACUGGAACUGAGACACGGUCCAGACUCCUACGGGAGGCAGCAGUGGGGAAUAUUGCACAAUGGGCGCAAGCCUGAUGCAGCCAUGCCGCGUGUAUGAAGAAGGCCUUCGGGUUGUAAAG
This 433-nucleotide ribosomal RNA is filed under the name Escherichia coli. Its description in RNAcentral is "bacterial SSU rRNA". It matches the Rfam family "Bacterial small subunit ribosomal RNA", at positions 1 to 430 of the family's 1533-position model. RNAcentral also lists the same sequence under 1 other name. The record is from RNAcentral. Lineage: Bacteria; Pseudomonadati; Pseudomonadota; Gammaproteobacteria; Enterobacterales; Enterobacteriaceae.